RNAcentral lists this ribosomal RNA (403 nucleotides) under uncultured bacterium. Its description in RNAcentral is "partial 16S ribosomal RNA". It matches the Rfam family "Bacterial small subunit ribosomal RNA", at positions 28 to 526 of the family's 1533-position model. The record is from RNAcentral.
GACGAACGCUGGCGGCGUGCCUAAUACAUGCAAGUCGAACGCAGUGGGGACGGUUUAGUAACACGUGGGUAACCUCCCAUCAGAGGGGAUAACACUUGGAAAACGGUGCUAAACCACUACUGUUGGCUGGUACCGCGGGGCAUUAGCUAGUUGGUGAGGGAACGGCUCACCAAGGCCACGAGGCAUAGCGGGCCUGAGAGGAUGAUCGGCCACACUGGGACUGAGACACGGCCCAGACUCCUACGGGAGGCAGCAGUAGGGAAUCUUCGACAAUGGACGAAAGUCUGACCGAGCAACGCCGCGUGAGUGAAGAAGGUUUUCGGAUCGUAAAACUCUGUUGUUAGAGAAGCGGUAUCUAACCAGAAAGCAACGGCUAACUACGUGCCAGCAGCCGCGGUAAUAC